GGCGACGAAGGACGUGAUAGCCUGCGAUAAGCUUCGGGGAGCUGGCAAAUUAGCUUUGAUCCGGAGAUUUCCGAAUGGGGAAACCCACCGAAAGGUAUCGCAUGAUGAAUACAUAGUCAUGCGAGGCGAACCGGGUGAACUGAAACAUCUCAGUAGCUCGAGGAAAAGACAUCAACCGAGAUUCCGAAAGUAGUGGCGAGCGAAAUCGGAGAAGCCUG
RNAcentral lists this ribosomal RNA (218 nucleotides) under Mycobacterium tuberculosis. Its description in RNAcentral is "partial 23S ribosomal RNA". It matches the Rfam family "Bacterial large subunit ribosomal RNA", at positions 45 to 271 of the family's 2925-position model. The record is from RNAcentral. Lineage: Bacteria; Bacillati; Actinomycetota; Actinomycetes; Mycobacteriales; Mycobacteriaceae.